AUGAGGAGACUUUUGAGGGGUUCAUCGUGCCAAAGCUCAAAGGAUAAACAAAAUGAAGAAGCUCAGAGGCCCAAAUAUAAUUUGCCUCGUACCGCGGAGAUUCGGCCGUGUGAAUGGCCUUCUGAUAAUUUCUUGAGAGAGGCCGGGAUUUAUGAGGAUUUCUAUUCAUUGAUUAAGAAUGCUGGCCUCACCGACUUCGUCCGCGACCAACGUCCACAGUAUCUCUUACUCACAAAUACUUUUGUGCAAAACUUCUACUUUUUCCCUAAAGAGUCACCUCCUUCAGUAGAGUUUCAUUUAUAUGAUGUUGUGAAGAAAAUGCCAUUGUCUGAAUUUUGCGCAGUCUGCAACAUACCUCCUGAUGGUAUCUUAGAGGAACCACCUCGUAAAGAGUUGGAACCAUUUAUUAACCUUAUCUCUAUGGGAGAAACCAGGAAGGUUUCUGAUGCAAGAAUCACUAGCAUACAUUUUCCCGUGUUACUCUAUUUUGCUUUAUUUGCUAGUCGAUGCUUGAUUGGUCGUGGGAACUGUGGGAACCUUAGUGUUCCUGAUAUUAUUAUUCUGUUCCAUGAUUUAUACCGCGACACCACUGUCAGUAUGGGCGGAAUUAUUGCUAGGCAGUUGAGUCUGAACCAUACUAAAGGCUGCAUCUUUGGAGACAUUUAUGCUUCUCGCCUUGCUGCACACUUUAACAUAGCUAUGAGGCGUUAUGACAAAGAAAAAAAUUGGUGCCUAAUGCUUAUCUAG
RNAcentral lists this ribosomal RNA (747 nucleotides) under Triticum aestivum (bread wheat). RNAcentral's name for it is "partial small subunit ribosomal RNA". The record is from RNAcentral. Lineage: Eukaryota; Viridiplantae; Streptophyta; Magnoliopsida; Poales; Poaceae.